Molecule: long non-coding RNA, 3262 nt
Organism: Zingiber officinale
Lineage: Eukaryota; Viridiplantae; Streptophyta; Magnoliopsida; Zingiberales; Zingiberaceae
Exons: 5
Source: RefSeq, a predicted model, not a curated record
UUAUUGACAAGGUCCAGUUGGUUCGCUAUUUAAUCGAAGGCAGCAGUAGAAGAGUUUAGGGUUUAGGGUAGAGUUUGCGGCUUCUUCUUCACUGCUUCUGCUCCUUUCGUUUUUAGGGUUGAUGCGAUGCUUUACGCCAGAUCGAUGUAUCCAAGGACGGGCGGAUCGUGGUUUUCUGGGUUCUCUCUCCUCCUCGCUUACCCAAAGUGUCUGUUCUUGUUCCAAUCCAAAUAUUUCAGUGCUGUUAAAUUUUUUGCCGCCUGAGAGCUUUUGCCUUUCCAUGCUUGACAGCUUGUGCUGCUCAGUUCUUUCUUGGAUGUCUAAGAAAGUGGCCGCCUGAGAGCUUUCGCCUUGCCAGGCUCGAGAGCUUGUGCUGCUCAAUUCUUCCUUGGAUGUCUGAGGAAGGCAGUUGUAUUUUAUCCUAAUUGUGGUUGGGAUUUAUAACAAUUGAAUUGAUUGGGUUUAGAAUUUAUAGCUUUGUUGUUAUUUUUGCUUAAUUACUAUGAUGACAAAUUAUAGGCUUGUUUCUCAAAACAUUCACAGUUGCUGCCUGAGAGCUUUUGCCUUGCCAUGCUUGACAGCUUGUGUUGCUCAGUUCUUUCUUGGAUGUCUAAGAAAGGUGUAUUUCAUUUUUAUGAUUCUAAUUGUGAGUUUGAUCAAUUGAAUUGUGAGAUUUGGAAAUCUAUAAUCUAUGGCUUUAUUCCUACUUGUUCUUGUUUCCAAUGAUGACAAAUCCUAAGGCCUGUUUCUCAAAACAUUCGCAGUGGCCGCCUGAGAGCUUUCGCCUUGCCAGGCUCGAGAGCUUGUGCUGCUCAAUUCUUCCUUGGAUGUCUGAGGAAGGAAGUUGUAUUUUAUUCUAAUUGUGAUUUUGAACAAUUGGAUUGAUUGGAUUUCGAAUUUAUAGCUUUGUUGUUAUUUCUGCUUAUUUUCUAUGAUCACAAAUUCUAGGCUUGUUUCUCAAAACAUUCGCAGUUGCCACCUUAGAGCUUUCGCCUUGCCAAGCUUGAGAGCUUGUGCUGCUCAAUUCUUCCUUGGAUGUCUGAGAAAGUGGUCGCCUGAGAGCUUUCGCCUUGCCAGGCUCGAGAGCUUGUGCUGCUCAAUUCUUCCUUGGAUGUCUGAGGAAGGGAAUUAUAUUUUAUCCUAAUUGUGAUUGUGAUUUAUAACAAUUGGAUUGAUUGGAUUUCGAAUUUAUAGCUUUGUUGUUAUUUUUGCUUAUUUUCUAUGAUCACAAAUUCUAAGCUUGUUUCUCAAAACAUUCACAGUUGGCACCUGAGAGCUUUUGCCUUGCCAGGCUUGAGAGCUUGCGCUGCUCAAUUCUUCCUUGGGAUGUUUGAGAAAGGUGAAUUGUAAGCCUGUUUCGCAUUGGCUGCCUGAGAGCUUUCUCUUUGCCAGGCUUGAGAGCUUUUGCUGCUCAAUUCUUCCUUGGAUGUCUCAGGAAGGAAGUUGUAUUUUAUCCUAAUUGUGAUUUUCAUCAAUUGUCUUUUAUGGGUUUGUUGCUGUUUGAGCUUGUUUUCAUAUAUGUCAAUUAGCAAGGUAUUCUCAAAACAUUCUUAGUGGCCGCGUAAGAACUUUUGGCUUUACAGGCUCUAGAGUUUGUGCUGAAAGUGUUUCUCAUAAUGUUUUCAGUGCAGAAAGAACUUCUGAUUUUCUAAGCGCCUUAGUUAUUUUGUUUUGUUGAUUGUUUUUUAGAUAUUUUGGUUAUUGCUUAUGAUCUUACUGAUCCUCUCCAAAAUUAUGGAAUUUUAUGUGGGACUACACGUCUGCCUCUCUGGUAUUUUCCCUUACCUUAGAGAUGAAGUAGUCCCUAAUAUUUACUAUCCUUUUGCUUCACUAGUUGGCAUUGCAUUUCUUGUGCUAACAGUUUUUUUGAGGAGUAUAUUAUUUUUCAAUAUCAUUCUGCCUUUUAUAAAUAUGUUUUAAGUUGAUCUUUUCAAGUGCGGUUUUCAUUUUUGUUUUAUUUUACAGGUACCAGAGUUGUUCCUAGUUGUACUUUGUUGAAUUAAUUUAAAAGAAAAUAUCCUGAAAAAUAAUAGGUUGUUUUUAUUAUGUUUUAUUUGUACUUUGAUCCAUUUAAUCAUCCAUGCUGAAUUCUAUAUAACUUUUUUUUUUGCUGUUUUGUAUAUAAAACCUUCAUCUCUAUGAUUCUCGACUGCAUGAAAUAGUUUAGGCGUUUAUGUAUUUAUCAACAUAAUCGAGGAGUCUGAUCAGUUGAAUUGUUUUUGCUUGGAAUUUCAUGGUUUAGUUGCUAUUUGUGCUUGUUUCAAAUGAAGACAAUUCCUAAGGCUUGUUUCUCAAAGCCUCUGCAGUAGCUGCCUGAGAGCGAUCGCCUUGCCAGGCUUGAGAGCUUGUGCUGCUCAACACUUGGAUGUCUGAGUAAGGCCUGUUUCUCAAAACAUUCAGUGUCUCCCUGAGAGCUUUCGUCUUGCCAGGCUUGAGAGCUUAUGCUGCUUAAUUUUUCCCUGGAUGUCUGAGAGCCUUGCCAGGCUUGAGAGCUUGUGCUGUUUUGGAAUAUAUUGCUUUGUUGCUAUUUGUGCAUGAUUCAAAAAUUGGCUGUCAUGCUUUGUGCCUCUUUUUAUCCUAAUUGUGAUUUUGAACUAUUGAAUUGGUUUGGAAUUUAUGGCUUCGUUUCUAAUACAUUAUGCUGCUUACAACUUCUUGGAUUUUGUAUGUGCCUUUGUUGGAUAUUUUUUGACUGUUUAGUUGUUUUUUGUUUUUCAUCUUGUUGAUACAUGUCAAAAUUAUGCAGUUUUAUGGGGGGACAGAUGUUAAGUGAACUUUGUGAUUUUUCUUGUUUAAUUUUGCAGGUACCUGAGUUGUCACAAGUAUGUUGGAUUCACUUGAAAGAAAAAUACUUGGUGGGCACUAUUGUUUCUGUCAAGUUCUAGAUCAACAUCUUGAUUAUUUUUACUAAUCUAUCAAAGGAAAUGGGAUGAAGAUACACUAUGAGCAUAUCUCUAGAUCUCAUUUAAAGAAUUCAGAUAAAUUUUGUUUUUCUAUAAAUUUGUGUUUUUUAAGUUCAUGAGCUGCAUCAACCAAUUUGGAGAUCAAGAACAUGCACUGAGCAAUCGGAUACAAUUGCUGAUCAAAUUAUUUUCGUAAUGAAACGAGAGCAAAACAAAGUGGAGAUGAAUCUUAUUUGCCAGUAUCUUUGAUACCUGAAGAUCAUCAUUAUUUAGUUGAUUUAAUUCAUUUAGAUUCAGCACAAGAUUGUAAUUGGCGUGUACGAAGAACGGAUCAAUGAAGAGGGAUAUAAAAGUCGAAA